RNAcentral lists this long non-coding RNA (1136 nucleotides) under Lotus japonicus. RNAcentral's name for it is "long non-coding RNA (LJAP_LNC001778)". The record is from RNAcentral. Lineage: Eukaryota; Viridiplantae; Streptophyta; Magnoliopsida; Fabales; Fabaceae.
GGGAGAAGGCACCGCCGCUACCAGCACCAGCUUUGCCUGUCGAAUUGGAGAACCAAAUUAGAGAGCUGAAUGGGAGUGAUGUGAAAUAUGUGAUGCACAAGAAGUUAUAUGAGACUGAUGUCAAUGACAACAACAAUCGUCUUUCAAUGCCUGAGAAUGUCAUUCAGAGUGAUUUCCUCACAGAAAGAGAGAUGGCAAUAGUAAAUUCAAAGGAAGAUAGGAAACCUGUUGGCUUGGAAGUGAUCGUCUUGGACCCGUUCCUUAGAGAGUUCGAAAUGACCUUGAAGAAGUGGAGUAUGAAUAGCACAAGGACUUACAAUCUGACCAAAAACUGGAAACAGAUCGUAAAGCAGAACAGAUUGAAAGCAGAGCAAGAGUUCAAUAUCUGGUCUUUUAGAGUUGCUGAGAAACUAUACUUUCUACUGAGCAACAAGGAUGUCUAGGUUGCUGUUUAGUUCAUUCUUAUGUUUUCGUAGUAUUUUUGUGAUUAUUUGGAUUCUAUCUCCUACUCUGUUUAUUGCUGUUCAUUAUCUUAUGACUGUUUUUCACGCUUUGUUUCUUUGGUUUCUUUAUCGACAAUACUCUCCAAAGCCUGGAAUAGUAAGCAUGUCAAGACAAAAAAAAUUAAAAUAAAAUCAACAAUAUAAGCUUAUCAUUUUGCAUCAUUAGAAACAACUUUUGCCCGGUCAUCCCAGACUCCAUCACCAAUUCAGCAGGAACUAGUGUGUCACCUGCACUUGCUAAUUCAACUUCAGACAUAAUUCAGGAACUAGCUGAAUGUAGAAGUGUCUUUUGCAUCACUUGAAGUAUGCCUCACUCACAUAAUUCAGUUGUAAUAACUGUCAUAGUUUCAAAGUAGACAUCCGAAUACUGCUAAAUUGGAUGGUCUUAUCUAGUAUCUACUAUAGUUCAAAUUUGAAAUGGUUCUGCUUUUCACCAAUAAUCAGCUCAGGGUGUUUGUGUUUUAAGUUAACGUGUCCCGUUUAAUGGGAUUACAUGCCAAUAGGAUUAUUUAUAAAUAAGUAAAAGUUUUAUAGAAUUCCAAACCAACUUCUCUUAAAAAUCAUUGGCCCACCUAAAAUGGUGUUGAAUUACCCCAAGUGGUAACCUAGACAACUCCAUUUUUUCCUUUUUCC